Molecule: non-coding RNA, 538 nt
Organism: Xyrichtys novacula (pearly razorfish)
Lineage: Eukaryota; Metazoa; Chordata; Actinopteri; Labriformes; Labridae
Source: the annotation of a GenBank genome assembly
UUUUUCUCCUCCGUCUGUCACAGUUUGGAUAAAAAGUGAUGAACACAUGAAUUCAUAAACAAAUGUCCACAAACUCACAGAGACGAGGAGGAUAAAUCCGAGGUUUCAUUCAGCUCCUCAUCUCGCCGCUCGCUCGCUCGCCUCGCUCUCUCUCCUCCUGAAUUCAUAAUCCGACCUGACGCCUCUGACAUCUCCUCCUCCACCUCCUCCUGCAUCUAUAAUUAAUAGUCAGUUGUCAGGGGUUACAGGAGCAGCAUCAGCGCUGCAGAAACAGGUAGAGGUCACGGGGUCAAGUUAUCACGGCGAGGAAAAACAAGCCCGAGUGGAUCUUCUGUCAGAGCGGCCGACAGACGGGAAAACCAGGAGAGACAGGAGUUCAGGGAGGAGACGGGAGGAGAGAAGGAGGGGAGAGGGGAGAGGAGAGAUGAGAGAGGAGGAGACAGGAGGAGGUCUGACAGAUCCGGGAGGAGAGAAGGAGGAGAGGAGAGGAGAGAGGAGAGGAGACAAGGGGAGGUCUGACAGAACCGGGAGGAGAGAG